Molecule: ribosomal RNA, 497 nt
Filed under: uncultured bacterium
Lineage: Bacteria
Description: partial 16S ribosomal RNA
Rfam family: Bacterial small subunit ribosomal RNA
Source: RNAcentral
GACGAACGCUGGCGGCGUGCCUAAUACAUGCAAGUUGAGCGCUGAAGGUUGGUACUUGUACCAACUGGAUGAGCAGCGAACGGGUGAGUAACGCGUGGGGAAUCUGCCUUUGAGCGGGGGACAACAUUUGGAAACGAAUGCUAAUACCGCAUAAAAACUUUAAACACAAGUUUUAAGUUUGAAAGAUGCAAUUGCAUCACUCAAAGAUGAUCCCGCGUUGUAUUAGCUAGUUGGUGAGGUAAAGGCUCACCAAGGCGAUGAUACAUAGCCGACCUGAGAGGGUGAUCGGCCACAUUGGGACGGAGACACGGCCCAAACUCCUACGGGAGGCAGCAGUAGGGAAUCUUCGGCAAUGGACGAAAGUCUGACCGAGCAACGCCGCGUGAGUGAAGAAGGGUUUCGGAUCGUAAAACUCUGUUGGUAGAGAAGAACGUUGGUGAGAGUGGAAAGCUCAUCAAGUGACGGUAACUACACAGAAAGGGACGGCUAACUACGUG